CUUAAAAUAGCAGGAAGCCUGUGCAACUUAAAAGGACAACAUACCUUUGUCAUCAUUUUUUGUUAGUGCCACUGGAGAAGAAGAUUAGGGGAAAUUGCUAGAAAGACAAUUUGGGGAUUUGAGCUGGUAGUCCCAUUACUCCUUUAAAUACCAACCACCAUUCUAGAGAUAUAACAAGGCAGCAUUUAUUUUUGAAACGUCUUUAUUUUAUCUUUAAUACUGUAUAAUUUUAUACAGUACUUUGAUAAUAGCUGCUUUCUUUUUAAAAAACCCUUAACCAGUCUGAGUUGGUUUUUAUUUCUACAUCAUAUACUAAUGUGAAAGGAAUAAAGUAUAUUUAUUAUUACACAGAUUCGCUGGUGACAGUGAGGCAGAUUGAAGACUUUAAAGGUAUUAAACAGAUGCUAAUGAACACAAACCCUAUCUUCUGGAUAAUGGACCUUCAUUUAUUGGAUUAAAAAAGACAAAUAUCAGUCCGUUGUAAAAACAAAUGUUUCGUCGUCUAUGGUCAAUGCAAACCGCCCAGAGACAAACGUUUGGGGAGGUGUACACAUUUGACUGACAAACAAAUAAAUAUACAUCAGCCUCAGUGUUCUUCCUUCUUCCGUGGAUCACAAUCUUAUAAUAUUCUCCUAUAAUUACACACACAACCA
Molecule: long non-coding RNA, 653 nt
Organism: Hemicordylus capensis (graceful crag lizard)
Lineage: Eukaryota; Metazoa; Chordata; Lepidosauria; Squamata; Cordylidae
Exons: 3
Source: RefSeq, a predicted model, not a curated record